Talpa occidentalis (Iberian mole) is the source of this 918-nucleotide long non-coding RNA. RefSeq lists it as uncharacterized. Lineage: Eukaryota; Metazoa; Chordata; Mammalia; Eulipotyphla; Talpidae. The record is from RefSeq and is a predicted model, not a curated record. The transcript is spliced from 3 exons.
ACUAUUACUCAUGAUUGUAACUCAUUACAGAUCCUAAAACACAGGCUUCAAAGAGACACUCUUCGAAGUGACUUUUUUGUGUGGGGAAUCCUCUAUGCUGUUCUACCUGCAGGGGCAGGCUGCCCUCACGUGGUCAAAGUCAUGAAUUGCAGAUGCACAAACAUCUGCGAGCUCUCACCUGGUACCAACACCUGACAGUGGCACAUGGCAAGGCAAUCUGGAUAAGAGACGUGCAUCACCGUGGGCGACUUGAUCACAGCCCCUCGUGGCUACAUACCGACCUGGCAGUUUGAGGGGAGGAGCUCUCCGCCUGGCGGACUCCAAGGGGAGCAAGUCGCGGACCCUUUGCUGCCAUCAGGGGUUUGUGAAGUCUGCUCUCACCUACACCUCCAGCCUCACAGUGAUCCCUUCUGGUGCUCACUUUCGGUCCUCAGACCCACCUCCAGAAACAGCCUUGGCAGAUGCUGAUCUCCAUCUGAACGCUGUGUCUUUCUGCCCCACCCCUCACCCACAUAACUUCUACUCAUUCCUCAGCUGUCAGCCCAAACCUCCUUAGGUAAGUUCUAGUCUAGGUCAGGUUCCCUUGAUAAAUGCUCUCAAAGAGCCAGACUUAUUUUUCAGAGCACUUUUCUCAGUUUAUAAUUAAGCAUUCAUCUGUGGGAUUAUUUCAUUAACAUUCAUCUCUGAUGAUAUUGUAUAGGAGAGAGAAGUGGAGCACCUUUCUCUUGUAUCCUUGGCACCGAGCUCAAUUUGGGUGAAUGGGGCAUUUCAGGAUAGGAGAGAUCUGGGGGUUGUGAGGAGUGCUGAGGCAUGCGGAACUUAUGUGGGACUUGUCCUCAACAAGGAGAAGCAUGGAAGUCAGGCUCACUUAUGUCAACAUGCCACUGUCCCCCACUCUACCCCAUCUCACCCCUACUU